Molecule: long non-coding RNA, 1222 nt
Organism: Hippocampus zosterae (dwarf seahorse)
Lineage: Eukaryota; Metazoa; Chordata; Actinopteri; Syngnathiformes; Syngnathidae
Exons: 2
Source: RefSeq, a predicted model, not a curated record
CUAGAACAGUGUUUUUCAAACCCUGUGCCGUGGCACACCAGUGUGACACUAGACAUUGUCAGGUGUGUCGCGGGAAAAUAGCCAUUUGGUAUGCCUGUGCGGUCUGUCACCCAUAAAGUAAUCAUGUAGUACCAUCUCAUACCGCUAGGGAGCAGCAACAGCUAGCCAAUUGACUUGCCUUUAACCGACAGACAAGCGAAUUUGUGACGCAUUAAUGCAGGGUGAUGGUGAAAAAUAAAAAUGAAAGAUUAUAAAAUAUUUUUUUCUUUGUGUUCAUUUGAUUCAAAUUCAAGCUGUUUAACGCCAUUCUUAGAUGUUAAAAACGGUUAUAGUAACAAUAUAACACGUUAAUUAUUUAAAUAAGCGGUGUUUUUCACAUUUACGGCUAGUGGUGUGCCGCAAGAUUUUUUUCAAUAAAGGAAGUGUGCCUUGACUUAAAAAAAGUUUGAAAAACACUGCUCGAGAACAGUGUGCCUCGAUCUAUAUUGACUGGUGACCAAUCCAAGGUAUACCCACCUAGGAUAGGAUCCAUUCCCAGAUGACGAUAAGUGGUAUAGAAAAUGGAUGGAAAGCUAGCUAUAGCUAUACAGUACUGUACACUACAAAGCUCCUUGGAAAAAACUCCGCCAACCGCCACUGGGUGUCACUGUUUAUCGUAGAGCGCAAUCUAACUGUUGUUUUUCACAAGUUUCACAAGUUACAAAGAUUAGUGUCCCUCUACCUGCACAUUUGUGUCAAGAUCACAAAUGUGAACAUGCUAUGUAUUGUGUAUGCAGUCGUAUAGUUCUCAUGAAACAAUUCCUUCUGUUUUUAAAAUACUAUUAACUCGUAUUCUACCAGCAUUAUGGAAUGAUGACCAAAGAAAUCUAGCAAUUUAGCACAUCUCACCAAUCACCAGUAAUGUAAAGCAUACAGCCUACAAUCCAUAAAUAUGGUGAAAGGCUUAAAUUAAUAUUUAGGUUACAUAGUAAGAACAAAGACAAAACGGGGGUAAAUGGAGAUGACCCAGAAAGCGUGUGUGAUUUGUUCUGCGUAAUAAAUUGGACAGGAACCUUUGAACACUACCAGACUGCCUUUUUCCAGUUACCUAAACCAGAUAAGACCAUAUUUAAACAGUAACCCCAUUUGUAAUCAAUGACCAACUUCAUUGCCAGCAUACGUGACAAAGUAAGACCAUAGAUCAGUGGAAAGAAUUUUUGAGAAAUAAAGAGAAAUCAUAACC